Molecule: ribosomal RNA, 60 nt
Filed under: uncultured Craterellus
Lineage: Eukaryota; Fungi; Basidiomycota; Agaricomycetes; Cantharellales; Hydnaceae
Description: partial 28S ribosomal RNA
Source: RNAcentral
AUGACCUCAAAUCAGAUGAGACUACCCGCUGAACUUAAGCAUAUCUAUCAGAGAGGGUAU